Molecule: ribosomal RNA, 924 nt
Filed under: uncultured fungus
Lineage: Eukaryota; Fungi
Description: eukaryotic LSU rRNA
Rfam family: Eukaryotic large subunit ribosomal RNA (bases 283-924)
Source: RNAcentral
AUCGAUGAAGAACGCAGCGAAAUGCGAUAAGUAAUGCGAAUUGCAGAAUUCAGUGAGUCAUCGAAUCUUUGAACGCACAUUGCGCCCUUUGGUAUUCCGAAGGGCAUGCCUGUUCGAGCGUCAUUAUCAACCCUCAAGCCUGGCUUGCUGUUGGACCUCUCGUCGUUAAAGACGGGUCCUAAAGUUAAUGGUGGAGUCAUCGGACCCUAGAUGCAACGAGCUCUCGUAGCACGCAUUUAAGGGGCUGGUGGCUCUAGUCUCAACCCAUAUCAUUUACAAGGUUGACCUCGGAUCAGGUAGGAAUACCCGCUGAACUUAAGCAUAUCAAUAAGCGGAGGAAAAGAAACCAACAGGGAUUACCUCAGUAACGGCGAGUGAAGCGGUAACAGCUCAAAUUUGAAAUCUGCCAACAGGCCGAGUUGUAAUUUGUAGAAGAUGCUUCGGGUGUGGCACCGGUCUAAGUUCAUUGGAACAUGACGUCAUAGAGGGUGAGAAUCCCGUAUGUGACUGGUUGCCUAUGCUCAUGUGAAGCUCUUUCAACGAGUCGAGUUGUUUGGGAAUGCAGCUCAAAAUGGGUGGUAUAUUUCAUCUAAAGCUAAAUAUUGGCCAGAGACCGAUAGCGCACAAGUAGAGUGAUUGAAAGAUGAAAAGCACUUUGGAAAGAGAGUUAAACAGUACGUGAAAUUGUUGAAAGGGAAGCGCUUGCAAUCAGACUUGCACGUUUUCGAUCAUCCGGUGUUCUCACCGGUGCACUCGAUUUCGUUCAGGCCAGCAUCGGUUUUGGUGGUUAGAUAAAGACCUUAGGAAUGUGGCUCUUUCGGGAGUGUUAUAGCCUGGGGUGUAAUGUAGCCUACCGGGACCGAGGACCGCGCUUCGGCUAGGAUGCUGGCGUAAUGGUUGUAAGCGACCCGUCUUGAAACACGG